RNAcentral lists this ribosomal RNA (460 nucleotides) under uncultured bacterium. RNAcentral's name for it is "partial 16S ribosomal RNA". It matches the Rfam family "Bacterial small subunit ribosomal RNA", at positions 338 to 795 of the family's 1533-position model. The record is from RNAcentral.
CCUACGGGUGGCAGCAGUGAGGAAUAUUGGUCAAUGGCCGUAAGGCUGAACCAGCCAAGUCGCGUGAAGGAAGAAGGAUCUAUGGUUUGUAAACUUCUUUUAUAGGGGAAUAAAGGUAUCCACGUGUGGAUAUUUACAUGUACCCUAUGAAUAAGCAUCGGCUAACUCCGUGCCAGCAGCCGCGGUAAUACGGAGGAUGCGAGCGUUAUCCGGAUUUAUUGGGUUUCACGGGUGCGUAGAUUGUUUUUUAAGUCAGCGGUUAAAGUUUGUGGCUCAACCAUAAAAUUGCCGUUGAAACUGGAAGACGUGAUAGUGUUAGAGGUAGGCGGAAUGCGUGUGGUAGCGGUGAUAGUCAUAGAUAUCACGCAGAACUCCGAGUGCGAAGGCAGCUUACUAAGCCAUAACUGACACUGAAGCACGAAAGCGUGAGGAUCAAACAGGAUUAGAUACCCGGGGAGUC